UGAGCUGUGAUGAGAAAGCUAACACGUAAGAAGAGACAACUCCUCUGUGGGGUAUAUCUUUUCUAUGAAAUAUAUUUGUUACGCUUGGCUUCUGAGCUAA
Brassica napus (rape) is the source of this 100-nucleotide non-coding RNA. The record is from Rfam. NCBI's taxonomy places the organism in Eukaryota, Viridiplantae, Streptophyta, Magnoliopsida, Brassicales, Brassicaceae.